Molecule: long non-coding RNA, 562 nt
Filed under: Mytilus galloprovincialis (Mediterranean mussel)
Lineage: Eukaryota; Metazoa; Mollusca; Bivalvia; Mytilida; Mytilidae
Source: RNAcentral
ACAAUACCAAGUACAUGUUUGUGACCAAGAGUGAACUCAGAUUUCAUCCUCGGUAAGUGAAAAAUGUUAAGUUUCAAAGUCAAAAAUUUAUUAUCUUUGUACUAACAUUCAAUUAGUGAACGAAAUGACAAUGACACAAAAGCCACAUUGGCAAUGUUAGGGUAACAAUUAAGUAGAAGCAAUAUUAAAAAAUGUAUUUGGAAGGAGCAAAUGCAAUCUUUCUUGUUUGUAUUUUACUGAUAUCGUUAGGUAAAUAUAGGUUGGUCCUUGAUAAAAUAACUAUUACAUAUAUUCUCUAUUUCAGUCGGUGUCCAAAAUGGUGAACUAUAAAUGGCAGAACUUUGGUAAGUCCAUUGACAAGGACUUGCCAAAGAUGACAGCUAGUCUCAACCAGAAGCUGGCUGUCACGACCAUCAGAGAAGCUGGGGCCGGAAGGUAGACCCAAACUGCCAUGGACAACAUAUGGCCCACAAGUCGGAAACCGCCGACAGGUUCUAUGACAAGAGCCACAGAACAACAGCUAGACAUUCGGCAUUGGAUAGUGCACACGGACAGUAGUGUA